GUGGGGAAUUUUGGACAAUGGGCGCAAGCCUGAUCCAGCCAUUCCGCGUGCAGGAUGAAGGCCUUCGGGUUGUAAACUGCUUUUGUACGGAACGAAAAGCCUCUGGUUAAUACCCGGGGGUCAUGACGGUACCGUAAGAAUAAGCACCGGCUAACUACGUGCCAGCAGCCGCGGUAAUACGUAGGGUGCAAGCGUUAAUCGGAAUUACUGGGCGUAAAGCGUGCGCAGGCGGUUGUGUAAGACAGGCGUGAAAUCCCCGGGCUCAACCUGGGAAUUGCGCUUGUGACUGCACAGCUGGAGUGCGGCAGAGGGGGAUGGAAUUCCGCGUGUAGCAGUGAAAUGCGUAGAUAUGCGGAGGAACACCGAUGGCGAAGGCAAUCCCCUGGGCCUGCACUGACGCUCAUGCACGAAAGCGUGGGGAGCAAACAGGAUUAGAUACCCUUGUAGUCC
RNAcentral lists this ribosomal RNA (450 nucleotides) under uncultured bacterium. RNAcentral's name for it is "partial 16S ribosomal RNA". It matches the Rfam family "Bacterial small subunit ribosomal RNA", at positions 354 to 796 of the family's 1533-position model. The record is from RNAcentral.